UACGGGGGGGGCAAGCGUUGUUCGGAAUUACUGGGCGUAAAGGGCGCGUAGGCGGCCUGCUAAGUCGGAUGUGAAAUCCCUCGGCUCAACCGAGGAACUGCAUCCGAUACUGGCGGGCUUGAAUCCGGGAGAGGGAUGUGGAAUUCCAGGUGUAGCGGUGAAAUGCGUAGAUAUCUGGAGGAACACCGGUGGCGAAGGCGGCAUCCUGGACCGGCAUUGACGCUGAGGCGCGAAAGCUAGGGGAGCAAACGGG
RNAcentral lists this ribosomal RNA (253 nucleotides) under uncultured bacterium. Its description in RNAcentral is "partial 16S ribosomal RNA". It matches the Rfam family "Bacterial small subunit ribosomal RNA", at positions 524 to 776 of the family's 1533-position model. The record is from RNAcentral.